AAUGAACGCUGGCGGCGUGCCUAACACAUGCAAGUCGAGCGAGAAAGUCUCUUCGGAGAUUAGUACAGCGGCGGACGGGUGAGUAAUGCGCAGGAACCUGCCCUUUGGUGAGGAAUACUCCUGAGAAAUUGGGAAUAAUACCGCAUAAGUCCCUAUGGGGAGAAAGGCGGCUUUAAUGCUGUCGUCAGAGGAUGGGCUUGCGUGCUAUCAGCUAGUUGGUGAGGUAAAGGCUUACCAAGGCUAUGACGGCUAACCGGCCUGAGAGGGUGUACGGUCACACUGGAACUGAGACACGGUCCAGACUCCUACGGGAGGCAGCAGUGGGGAAUAUUGCGCAAUGGGCGAAAGCCUGACGCAGCGACGCCGCGCGGAGGAUGAAGGUCUUAGGAUUGUAAACUCCUGUUAAGCGGGAAGAAAAGCCUAUCAGUAAUAUAGGUAGGUUAUGACGGUACCGCUAGAGAAAGCACCGGCUAACUUCGUGCCAGCGGCCGCGGU
Molecule: ribosomal RNA, 495 nt
Filed under: uncultured bacterium
Lineage: Bacteria
Description: bacterial SSU rRNA
Rfam family: Bacterial small subunit ribosomal RNA
Source: RNAcentral